CUGGGCCAGGCUGGGCUAUGGCUUGUAGUCACAAGGCAUUUAAGAAUCACAGCAUUCACCAAGGAUGUCUCCAAACCUUCUCACACAGAACAACGAAGAAAAUGGAAAGGGCCGCUGUAAGAGGUAGAGACUGGGCAAUGAGCUGUUUCCACUCACUAGAUAACUGACUCUCAGCCACAACUACUUUGCAGUUCAGUGACUGAAAUUCAUGCCUCGGCAAAACUUUGCACUCUGCCUCAUAGAAUGGACUUCUGGAUCAUGCUGAAGUGGCUUAGACUUGUUUACCGAUGCAUUUCCCGGGCGUACUUACUGUAUCACUUCAGCGUCUCUGCACUCGAGCCUCAGAGAUCAAGAAACGGCUGAGAAAUGCAAUAACAAAUAAAGGCUCUUCCAUCUGGCAGGCAUAAGCAUAAACGAGACGUGAGCCCAGAGUCUCAAUAAAGAAGGGAUCAUCAUCAAUCCACGCUCCACGCAGAGCCCCAAGACAACAGCAGAAUUGCUCUGUGCAUCCUGGUUUACGGAACCAUAGAAACUUUUGAAUCUGAAUCAACAUACAAAGAAUAAAAGAACAGCUGAAGUCUGUCCUCCUAAAAAGAUGACUAUUGCUUAAUUCUGCUUUUCUGUCAUUUACUCCCACACCUCAGAAGCUUCUGAGAGCACUUUUGAAGUGCUUUUUUGAACCUGCAGACCACAAACCAACGUCUGUGGCUAGGCAACACCCACUAUCCAUUAUCUGAUGAUUUGGGAAGAAGUGAAAACUUUGCCAACAUUUGGUGAUUUAUACUUUCCAAGAGGAGUUGAAAAUAGAAAAUGUAGACAUUUUCAAACCAUAGAACUUGGCAAAUUCCACUCACACUGAUCGUCUCUGAAGAUUGAAUGUGAUCCCUGCCCCUCUCCACGUGGAGAACUGUCACAGCUCCAGGGCAAUGAUUUUUGCCUGAAUUCAACAGCUCUGCGAAGCUCUAGAGAAGACAAACAAGAAAGGAACCAAAAGGAAGUCCUGAACCCUGAUCUACAUUAAGCUGACUCAACGAAAUAAAUAGCAAGACUCAACUGCUACACUUCACGAUGUAGGGGGAUGCGUCCGUUUUAUUGCUAUGAUAAAUUCCGACCGGAAGGUGACAGAAUAUUGGCAUUUCAAUCAAGGCAGCUUCAUAUAGACACACACACAUGCAAGCACACACUCUCACAUACACGUUUCCUGCCCAGCCCACUCAGCUCUGUGUGUUGAAAGCUUUAUGAUAGGAAAGCCUGGAGGAUGUCCACAGACCACUGACAAGAUUCAAAGGGUUGGAAUUUUACAAAUCUUUAUAAAAGAACCAGGAGUCCUUGCCAAUGGGAAUUUGAAAUAUGUCCCUCCACUCCUCUGGCUGUACAGAAGAAAAAAAUCAUAAACAACUUGCAGAGAAUAUAAUUCCCACGGAACACAUCACCCUCAAGCUAAACACUCACUGUCCUUUCUUCUUCUUUAAGAACUAGGAAUCAGUGACAUUACUGUGGUAAUACAGAUCUGCCUGGCACCUUCAAUCACUUGGUAAAUUAUAAAACAGGGCUUCGUCACUUCAACUACUGAAAUAAGGAGGCAAGCCAGCAUUACCAAAUAAGCACGUGCAGUGCAGGGGUGUAUGAAAUGGGGCAAUAUUUCAAGCGCUUGGGAAGUGACAAAUUUUAUGUUGAGCCACAUCCACUGCAGGGCAUCAUAUGAUAUUUCUUCAGGUGCAGACAUUGCAUGAGGGUAAACCAUUCUGUGCACAUUUGUAAAGUAUUUCUAUUCCAUCAGCUUUCCUGCCUGUAGGAAAAUAAUAGUGGUCCUAUGCACUUAUGCCAGAUGAGUUUUAUAAUGGAAGCCACAGCCUGUUUCUAAGUAAAUUAUUAAAUCACCAGCUCUUUAAUGAAAUGGAAUUGUCUGCACUGAUCUUCCAGAUAAAAAAUGCUCUUUUGUAGAAAAAGACUGUCCCAGAAUAGAAGAAUUAAUUCAUCCACAUGCUUCAGAAGAUUGUGGAAAGUGAAGUAAAAACCAACAUUUAUUGAGCAAAAUGCCAGACACUGAGGCACUUACUAUGUGAUUUCACUAAAUCCUAAUAUUAACUUACAAGGAAAGAAAAACCACCCCCAUACCAGACAUGAGAUAGUCAAAGAGGCUAAAACAUUUGCACAGAAACACAAUGCUCAUCUUGCCCUGGCUUUUCAAACCAAAAUUAAAUGUAGUCUUAAUAAGUAAGUCACCGGUCAACUAAUGUGUGCUACUGUCAAUAUGUAUUCGUUCAUAUGGACUAUUUGCUCUCAUAUAAUUGCUGUUAGUGAUCACAAGUAUGGUCAGAACAAAUUUUUUAAAAGAGUUGAGUAGAGUGGGAAGCUAAGGAUCUCUAAUUCAUCCUUCCAUUUGUUCAUUUAUUCAUUCAACAAACAUUUAUUGAGUGCCUAUGAGUCAUGUACUGUUCUAGACAUUGAGGAUAUAGCAGUAAACAAAACAUACAGCAUCUCUAGUCUCAUAGAUCUAUAUUUUAAUCGUAUUAAAUCAUAUAUUUACCAUGGUGAAACCUGCAAAACACUACGUUAACAUUACCAGUAUGAUGGUUAACAUUACCAGUAUGUCAUGUGGAUGUCAUUUACCCCCUGAAAUGAUGUGAUAAAAAGGGUACUUCACCUCUCUGGUAUUCUUUCUAAAAAAAAAUAACUCCAGUCUAAUUACAGGAAAAAGAGCAGGCAAGCUCAUAUUGGGGACAUUCUACAGGAGAGCUUGCCAGUACUCAACAGGGCUGUCAAGGUCACGAAAAACAAGUACAUUUAUAAACACGUGGAAACUAAACAACAUACUCCUUAACAACCAAAAGGUAAAAGAAUAAAUCGAAAGGGAAAUUUUAAAAUAUCUCAAAACUGAUGAAGAUAGAAAUACAACAUACCAAAACCUAUGGGAUGCUGCAAAAGUAAUUCUUAGAGGGAAGUUUAUAGCAAUAA
Orcinus orca (killer whale) is the source of this 2958-nucleotide long non-coding RNA. RefSeq lists it as uncharacterized. The transcript is spliced from 3 exons. Lineage: Eukaryota; Metazoa; Chordata; Mammalia; Artiodactyla; Delphinidae. The record is from RefSeq and is a predicted model, not a curated record.